AUGGCGGCUGCGAGCGCGGAGAAGCUGCUUCCUCCUUCUCCCUCGUUCUCGCGGCGUCUCUGCGCUGUGACGUCAGACGCACAACGUAAGACCCGGCAGGGCGGGAGCUCCAUGGAGAGGCUCCGCCCCCACGUCCCGCCCCUGAGGAGGUGCCGCCGUCAGGGCCGCGGCUCUGAGGGCAGUGGGGAGGUUUUCUUUACGUCCCGUCCUAACCCAACCCACCCCACAUGCUGGGCAUCGACUUUACCCGAAUCUUCAUGGCUUUGUAAGCCAACCUCAUGGAAAAAUUCAAACAUGGGGGCUUGGAGCUGCCCCCUCUGCCGUGUGCAAUCUCAUGGAUCGCGGAGCGGUUCCUGCCCCGUUCCGGGGAUGGCGGAUCCAGCCGAGUCAUGUCCUGACACAGUGCACAUGCAGUGCAAUGCUCUGAACAUGUGA
Molecule: long non-coding RNA, 435 nt
Filed under: Parus major (Great Tit)
Lineage: Eukaryota; Metazoa; Chordata; Aves; Passeriformes; Paridae
Description: lncRNA (ENSPMJG00000008726.1)
Source: RNAcentral